AGAGUUUGAUCCUGGCUCAGAACGAACGCUGGCGGCGUGGAUAAGACAUGCAAGUCGAGCGCUGAUUGCGAGGUAGCAAUAUUUCGCAGUCGGAGCGGCGCAAGGGUGCGUAACACGUGGGCAAUCUACCGUGAAGUUGGGGAUAACUUGCUGAAAGGCGAGCUAACACCGAAUGUGAAAAUUGGAUGGCAUCACCUGAUUUUCAAAGCUGGGGACCGUAAGGCCUGGCGCUUCAUGAUGGGCCCGCGGCCUAUCAGCUAGUUGGUGAGGUAACGGCUCACCAAGGCUAAGACGGGUAGCUGGUCUGAGAGGACGACCAGCCACACUGGAACUGAGACACGGUCCAGACACCUACGGGUGGCAGCAGUCGAGAAUUUUUCACAAUGGGCGCAAGCCUGAUGGAGCGACGCCGCGUGGGGGAUGAAUGGCUUCGGCCCGUAAACCCCUGUCAUUCGGGAUCAAUCCCUCUGACCUAACACGUCCGAGGUUGAUAGUACCGGAAGAGGAAGGGACGGCUAACUCUGUGCCAGCAGCCGCGGUA
Molecule: ribosomal RNA, 541 nt
Filed under: uncultured Verrucomicrobiota bacterium
Lineage: Bacteria; Pseudomonadati; Verrucomicrobiota
Description: bacterial SSU rRNA
Rfam family: Bacterial small subunit ribosomal RNA
Source: RNAcentral